UACGUAGGGUGCGAGCGUUGUCCGGAAUUAUUGGGCGUAAAGAGCUCGUAGGCGGCCUGUCGCGUCGGAUGUGAAAGCCCGGGGCUUAACCCCGGGUCUGCAUUCGAUACGGGCAGGCUAGAGUGUGGUAGGGGAGAUCGGAAUUCCUGGUGUAGCGGUGAAAUGCGCAGAUAUCAGGAGGAACACCGAUGGCGAAGGCGGAUCUCUGGGCCAUUACUGACGCUGAGGAGCGAAAGCGUGGGGAGCGAACAGG
RNAcentral lists this ribosomal RNA (253 nucleotides) under uncultured bacterium. Its description in RNAcentral is "partial 16S ribosomal RNA". It matches the Rfam family "Bacterial small subunit ribosomal RNA", at positions 524 to 776 of the family's 1533-position model. The record is from RNAcentral.